UUCCAGACUCCUACGGGAGGCAGCAGUGGGGAAUAUUGCACAAUGGGGGAAACCCUGAUGCAGCGACGCCGCGUGAGUGAAGAAGUAUUUCGGUAUGUAAAGCUCUAUCAGCAGGGAAGAUAAUGACGGUACCUGAGUAAGAAGCCCCGGCUAACUACGUGCCAGCAGCCGCGGUAAUACGUAGGGGGCAAGCGUUAUCCGGAUUUACUGGGUGUAAAGGGAGCGUAGACGGCAUGGCAAGUCUGAAGUGAAAGCCCGGGGCUCAACCGCGGGACUGCUUUGGAAACUGUUAAGCUGGAGUACAGGAGAGGUAAGCGGAAUUCCUAGUGUAGCGGUGAAAUGCGUAGAUAUUAGGAGGAACACCAGUGGCGAAGGCGGCUUACUGGACUGUAACUGACGUUGAGGCUCGAAAGCGUGGGGAGCAAACAGGAUUAGAUACCCCGGUA
RNAcentral lists this ribosomal RNA (446 nucleotides) under uncultured bacterium. Its description in RNAcentral is "bacterial SSU rRNA". It matches the Rfam family "Bacterial small subunit ribosomal RNA", at positions 329 to 792 of the family's 1533-position model. The record is from RNAcentral.